This 247-nucleotide ribosomal RNA is filed under the name uncultured Actinomycetales bacterium. RNAcentral's name for it is "partial 16S ribosomal RNA". It matches the Rfam family "Bacterial small subunit ribosomal RNA", at positions 83 to 334 of the family's 1533-position model. Lineage: Bacteria; Bacillati; Actinomycetota; Actinomycetes; Actinomycetales. The record is from RNAcentral.
AAAAGUGGAUUAGCGGCGGACGGGUGAGUAACACGUGAGUAACCUGCCUUAGACAUUGGGAUAGCCUCGGGAAACUGGGUCUAAUACCGGAUAGGACCAUGCUUUAGUGUGUGUGGUGGAAAGUUUUUCGGUGUAGGAUGAGCCCGCGGCCUAUCAGCUUGUUGGUGGGGUAAUGGCCUACCAAGGCGGCGACGGGUAGCCGGCCUGAGAGGGUGUACGGCCACAUUGGGACUGAGAUACGGCCCAG